Molecule: long non-coding RNA, 255 nt
Organism: Cyprinus carpio carpio
Lineage: Eukaryota; Metazoa; Chordata; Actinopteri; Cypriniformes; Cyprinidae
Source: Ensembl
AAAGCCUAUAAAACCUAAAUGAAAACUCAAAACUUUACGAAACUUGGUGAAAACAUGUGUCAGAUGACUCUGAACAAGCAUGCAAAGUUUCAUGGAAAUCAAACCAUAGGUGGUGCUAUCACAGUAGAAAAGGCCUCAAAAACAAAAGAUUUAUAUGGUAAAUGGCCUCAAAUUGGUUGAAAAUGCUCAUAUAUUCACACAAACACUAGAUCUUCAUAUCAUAUGAUAGAUGUCCUCAUUCUGAACAACUUUGCC